UACGAAGGGGGCUAGCGUUGUUCGGAAUCACUGGGCGUAAAGCGCACGCAGGCGGAUCGUUAAGUCAGGGGUGAAAUCCCGAGGCUCAACCUCGGAACUGCCUUUGAUACUGGCGAUCUUUGAGUCCGGGAGAGGUGAGUGGAACUCCGAGUGUAGAGGUGAAAUUCGUAGAUAUUCGGAAGAACACCAGUGGCGAAGGCGGCCACCUGGACGGUAACUGACGCUGAGACGCGAAAAGCGUGGG
RNAcentral lists this ribosomal RNA (244 nucleotides) under uncultured bacterium. RNAcentral's name for it is "partial 16S ribosomal RNA". It matches the Rfam family "Bacterial small subunit ribosomal RNA", at positions 524 to 765 of the family's 1533-position model. The record is from RNAcentral.